Podospora conica is the source of this 72-nucleotide non-coding RNA. The record is from the annotation of a GenBank genome assembly. Lineage: Eukaryota; Fungi; Ascomycota; Sordariomycetes; Sordariales; Podosporaceae.
GCCGGCUUAACUCAGUGGUAGAGUGCGUCACUCGUAAUGACGAAGUCGCUUGUUCGAUCCAGGCAGUCGGCA